This 253-nucleotide ribosomal RNA is filed under the name uncultured bacterium. RNAcentral's name for it is "partial 16S ribosomal RNA". It matches the Rfam family "Bacterial small subunit ribosomal RNA", at positions 524 to 776 of the family's 1533-position model. The record is from RNAcentral.
UACGGAGGAUCCAAGCGUUAUCCGGAUUUAUUGGGUUUAAAGGGUGCGUAGGCGGUUUAGUAAGUCAGUGGUGAAAUCCCAUCGCUCAACGGUGGAACGGCCAUUGAUACUGCUGAACUUGAAUUAUUAGGAAGUAACUAGAAUAUGUAGUGUAGCGGUGAAAUGCUUAGAGAUUACAUGGAAUACCAAUUGCGAAGGCAGGUUACUACUAAUUGAUUGACGCUGAUGGACGAAAGCGUGGGUAGCGAACAGG